UCUUUCAUCAUUCUAACACAUGUCUGCACAUUAUGAGGUUUUUAUGCAUUUGAGUCCACCUCUCAUUUAGCGUGUUUACAAUUUUGUUAUUGGAUGUUGCAGUCGUGUUGGGGUCUCGGGUAUGUGGUGGCUACUCUUUUUAUGUACAUAUUAUUUAAAUAGUUUACAACAUCUUUUGGUCUUUUAAUAUACAGAUUAAAUGCCUUACAUUUUAAAAGACGACAAAUAUGAGACAAAGUACAAGACUGACUUAAAAGAGGGAACUCAAUUUACUACGGGAAAGGUUUUGGUAACUCGAAGGAUAUGCAUCUUCAAAGGGACUCGACUAUCUUUAAAUUGUGUAUCCACUGUAUCACUAAUUUAUGUAACAUGAGACUUUGUAUUUUAUUUUAUUUGUACACUUAAUAUUUAUCUUAA
Molecule: long non-coding RNA, 417 nt
Organism: Helianthus annuus (common sunflower)
Lineage: Eukaryota; Viridiplantae; Streptophyta; Magnoliopsida; Asterales; Asteraceae
Exons: 2
Source: RefSeq, a predicted model, not a curated record